Non-coding RNA from Odocoileus virginianus texanus, 370 nucleotides. Lineage: Eukaryota; Metazoa; Chordata; Mammalia; Artiodactyla; Cervidae. The record is from RefSeq and is a predicted model, not a curated record.
AGGAGUCCAUGGACAGAGGGCCUGGUGGGCUACAGUCUACAGGAUUGCGGAGUGUACACCACUGAGCAAAGACACUAUAAAGUCACCAGAAUCACCUCCCUAGCAUUAUCUGAAGACAGAUGAUUUGCUGUGGGAAAGCUGGCUGCCAUGUGGCGAUAAACCAAGGCCUCCUGCAAACAGACAUGCACAUGAGCCAUCCAACAGUGGCUCCUCCAGCCCCAGUCAGGCCUUCAGAGCCAAGGACACCUACUUUGCCUGGGCAUGUGGCAGGUGAAUGGGCCAGGGAAGUGACGCCCCCAGAGCAUCCCUCAUCAGUGCUUAUUGGAGUUGGUAGAUGAGCUCUCCUUUCCAAGUAAGAAAAUAUUCAUUU